GACGAACGCUGGCGGCAUGCUUAACACAUGCAAGUGGAGCGACGAACCUUUUAGGGGCAAAGCCGCGAACGGGUGAGUAACACGUGGGCAAUCUGCCCAGUUGACUGGAAUAACUCUCCGAAAGGAGAGCUAAUACCGGAUGUGCCGUACCUACACAAGUAGGUCCGGUAAAGGUAGCUUCGGCUAUCCGCAAUUGGAGGAGCCUGCGGCGCAUUAGCUAGUUGGUGGGUAAAGGCCUACCAAGGCGACGAUGCGUAGCUGGUCUGAGAGGACGAUCAGCCACACUGGAACUGAGACACGGUCCAGACUCCUACGGGAGGCAGCAGUGGGGAAUCUUGCACAAUGGGCGACAGCCUGAUGCAGCAAUGCCGCGUGAGGGAAGACGGCCUCGGUUGUAACCGUACUUCUAGUUGGAGUGAAGUGGCGGUGACGAGCGUGUCGACUGACGUACCGUUC
This 456-nucleotide ribosomal RNA is filed under the name uncultured bacterium. RNAcentral describes it as "bacterial SSU rRNA". It matches the Rfam family "Bacterial small subunit ribosomal RNA", at positions 28 to 483 of the family's 1533-position model. The record is from RNAcentral.